CAAAAAAUUCCCUGGAAUCGAUUAACUCUAGGUUCCAUAUCAUCAUGAAAAGUGGAAAGCAUGUGGUAAGGUUUCAGAAUUUCCCAAAGGCAGAGCCAUGUAGGAACUUCCCAGAACCCUUGAUGUCACAGGAUUUAGUGACAAAGAUUUUCUCCUGACCAAACUCCAACCAGGCUCCUCUGAACCGUUUUCUUGACGAGGCCUCAACCUUGGCUUGCAAAGACGUGAACAAAAUAUUAUCACAACAAAUUAAGGCUCUAUCCCUAGGAUGACCCUAGGUCCUCUUAAAGUACCUGCUUAAGGAAACUCAAGGCUGCCAAAGAAUUGACUGCUUCUUCCAGUCAACACCUGAAAUGGGACCCGUGUCUCCCAGCCUGUACUGGAAACCACGAACCAAGUCUGAUGAGCGC
This 410-nucleotide long non-coding RNA is filed under the name Mustela putorius furo (domestic ferret). RNAcentral describes it as "lncRNA (ENSMPUG00000024040.1)". Lineage: Eukaryota; Metazoa; Chordata; Mammalia; Carnivora; Mustelidae. The record is from RNAcentral.